RNAcentral lists this ribosomal RNA (492 nucleotides) under uncultured bacterium. Its description in RNAcentral is "partial 16S ribosomal RNA". It matches the Rfam family "Bacterial small subunit ribosomal RNA", at positions 29 to 507 of the family's 1533-position model. The record is from RNAcentral.
AGUGAACGCUGGCGGUAGGCCUAACACAUGCAAGUCGAACGGCAGCACAGUAAGAGCUUGCUCUUACGGGUGGCGAGUGGCGGACGGGUGAGGUAUACAUCGGAAUCUACUUUUUCGUGGGCGAUCACGUAGGGCAACUUACGCUAAUACCGCAUACGACCUACGGGUGAAAGCAGGGGAUCUUCGGACCUUGCGCGAUUGUAUGAGCCGAUUUCUGAUUAGCUAGUUGGCGGGGCAAAGGCCCACCAAGGCGACGAUCCGUAGCUGGUCUGAGAGGUUGAUCAGCGACCCUGGCACUAAAUCACGGUCCAGACUCCUAGGGGCGGCAGCAGUGGGGAAAAUUCGACAAUGGGCGAAAGCCUGAUGAAACCAAAACGCGUGCGUGAAGAAGGCCGUCGGGUUGUAAAGACCUUUUGUUGGGAAAGAAGAGCGGCAGGUUAAUACCCGGAUGGUGUGACGGUACCCAACGAGUAAGCACCGGCUAACCUCGUG